GGGUUUGGGUGAGAGAGGUAUUUGUCCAAUCAUCGCAGAAUGGUGGUGAUUUUCUGCAUGAAAGUUCCCAGAAAAAUCUAUCUUUGGCUGCUCAAUUUUCGCUGAUGGACAGUGCACACACCCUGCACACGCACUCACACACUUACAAUCACAUUUCAAUCUACUGUUCUUUUAGCCAGAAGGGGAGGAUAUGUUGCCAACAUGAAAUCCUCCUCCCUCUGCUCUCCUCCAUCCUCCAUAUCUAUGUGGAAGGCUUUUGAAGAUGAUAAACUGCUAUUUUUCGACAUGCCCUCUGCUAGACUUGGACUAUCUUGCAGCUUCCUCUGGUCCUAUCAGAGCAGCCAUGACAUCCAUGCAUGUGGCAGAGGAGUGCAGGCUGUUGCACUGAGCCAAGGUUCUGGCUGCAGGCAUUGUGGUUGGCACUCCAACUCGCUACCAGGCUGUCAGCCUUGACCCUGCCGGAGCCCCAGUCACUGUUUCUUACUUCAUGCUAUUGCUGUGAGGAAAAAGGCUGAGGAGUGUGGUCAGGGACACAGUCAGAGCUAGUGGAUGUUAUUCUGACAGAUAUUUUACAAGCACCAGUUUGCUGCUCUUUAGAUUUGGGCUCACUUGUCAUAAUCUCUCCAAAUCUGAGUCACUGCAGCGUCAUAAAAUAUGAAGUGUCUGGAAGAAUAAUAAGUCCCCUGCUUCUGAUGAGCUUAAUACAAAUCAAGGCAAAAAUCUCUCCCCUAGUUUCUGAUACAUUAGCUUGAACAUUCAGAGGAGAAAUAAUUGCACUCUGUUAAACUCUGUAACCCCAUCCAUCCAUACAGCAAAAGAAUCACUUUAUGAAAGAAGUUAACAAUUGGAAGGAGGUGCAACAGGGGAAGUUAACUUGUAAAAACACAAAUCAACACAUCAAAUAUGCAAGAGCUUCUGCAGGGUAAUUUACAGAUAUUGUUCCCCUCACUUUCUCACACUGUGUGAAUUAAAUCCCAACACCAAAAUUUGCAUUUUUAGCCCCAGGCAAGUAAAACAAGGAGACUGCCGCAAGAAAGGAUCCACUCCCACAGACAGGACAAGAAAACUAAUGAAAAUCAUUUGCCACACGUACUUGAAUUUUGUGUGUUUUAUUUACUCAUUCAAUAUCGGAGUGUUUGUCUUGUUUGUGUUUGUUGUAACGGAGAGAAAAGGCGACAAAAGGCAGGUUUGUGUUCAAUCAUGAGAAAUCAUCAGCCUGUUAGUGCACCUGUUGCUGUCAUUUGUAAUCAGCUACAUCCAUUUUAUGUUAACAGUAUGUGAAAUUUUUUUUUUGUUCUGGUUAGCCUUUGGCAACUUUUUGUGCACCAACCAAAAAAACCAAAACCAUCACAAAUCAUCCGAAGUGUGAAUGGGCAUGAUUAACUGAUGAUCAAUUAAUUGAUCGUUAAGAAUUACGUUGAUCACACAAAAUUUCAAUAAAUCUAACAUUAUUAAAAAAAAAAAGUCUGACAGCGUGUGUUUAUCCUCCAGCUGCUUUCCAGCAAAGAUCAACCUCUGCUAAUCAGGAGGGAUACCCUCUUUGUCCAGACAGUGUGUGUGUGUGUUAAAGAAAUGCAGUGACUAUAACCCCGCGGAAGGAUAUUGACAUUUUACAAGGGGAGUGAUACGGCAUCAGCAGGCUUCUGUAGAAGUAAAAAAAAAAACAUGAUAAAAAAAAAACAGGAAGAAAGCAAGCCGAAGUGUGGCGUGGAACCAUUUCGAGUGGAAAAAUGAUGAGAUUUGCUGCAAACACUGCAAUGCCGUGUACAAGUACAACACGACAACACCCCAAAUGAUGUACCACUAAAUCCACUUAUAUCCGACUGAGGUUAAUGAAUCCUCUGAGUGCUCUCAUCUCAACCUACCAUCAGCUCCUUGCUGGCAAUGAGGAUCGUAGUGUGACCAGACAUCCCCGAUUUCAGGGGACAGUCCCCGUUUUGGAUGACCUGUCCCUGGGUAAAGUUGUCCCCAGAAAUGUACCCAAUUAAAGCAUUUCAUGAAUGAGAAAAAAAGUUAUUACGGUAGCCUGGCAGGUAUUUUAAAUGCCAUUUACACACACACACACACACACACAAAAUAAAAAAAUAAAAAACAAUCAAAUCGAUGAUUGAUCAUUAAUUUAUAUGUUUAAUCGAUCAAGAGACUGUCUUCAAAUGCCCAUUCCUAAUCCCAAGUGGUCUGGAGUAAGUAGGGCAGCCAGACAAAGUUGGUUGAUGCCAAAUUUAGCUUAUGUUUUAUCUUGUAUGAAGCUCAUUUAGACAGUUUAUUUAGUUUUGUUUAUUUAAUGGUUUAUUUGACUGGACACAUACAUGAGACAUUGCUUCAUUGUUUAAACAAAGUAUAUGAUUUGCAAACAGGUGUCUCUCUACAUACAGCGUAUCAAGUUCAACAAGAUUAGUGACACAAUUUGAAACUCUACAAACUCUGGGCUGUCAUUCAUUUUCUGACCAAUAACCAUCAAUCCUACUUAAAAGCAGUGAGACAAACUGACAUGUCUUAACUGUAGAAGCUCCUUAUUAUUAAGCUAGAUAACAGUAUUCAGCUGCCACUAUGAACUGUGUUAGUGAAGAGGGAAGUCCUAAAUUAGUGAUGUAGCUCUUUACAGCAAGAGUGCAUCAAAGUGUUCCCAGUGCUUCUGAAACUUGAGUUUUCUUUAACCCCUGACUGUCAGGGAUCAAACUGCAUACUUUGCCUUUAAUUUAAGAGUUUAUCCUUUUCAUGCUACUUGAGUUACCAUCAGUUGGAUGUAAAGAACAUUUCUGAUGAUUUAUAUAGACAACAUGUCAACAUGAUCUGUUAGGGUUUGACUUGCACCAACAUUUGGAUGCUGUAGAGCCUCAGAAGUCCUACAAAAGCGAUCACUUACGUUAUCCACUCACACAGAUAAAAGGAUUAGGCAUUUGGAAAGUGGUUGCGUUAUGCUCUCUUGACAUAAGUGAUGAGUUAGACAUAAACAUUCAGUUUUGGCUCCGACACAUAGUAUACUCUAAUAACAUAACAAUGUUGCCAUGUAGUUACUGUAAGAUUGGUUUGUACUCGAGUCCGUCUGCCUCCUCGCUGGGUGUAGCCACCGUGAGAACACCCCCCCCUAUGGUAUAGGUCAUAAGUCCGGCCUCCUCCAGCAAUCCUUAUGGAGUUGUGGACAAACUUUACAAAUUAAUUACAUAGAAACCCCCCCCCCCCGUUGCAAUGUUGCCAUGUAGUUACUGUAAGAUUGCGUAGCUCGUCCCCAUACAAUGUUCUUAUGAGGUGUACGAAGAUUGCGUAGCUCGUCCCCAUACAAUGCUACUGUGCAAUUGGUGGUUCCAUGAAGUGGAGAAAAUCCCAGAGAGCAAUUCGGCUUUAAAUUCCUAUAUUGACUGAAAGUGGAUCAAGUUGUCCAUAGUAUAUACAGUCUAUUGUUUGAACAGAUAAAAAAAAAUGUUUUUGCUAACUUUGUGUUUCAUUUAUGUUAUAAUGGAGACCAGUUAACUUCUCUGAGACUUGACUGUAUUCAAUUGAUUCAAUUGUGCAUAAUAAAAUCCUGCCAACAUUAAUCCUUUAUUUAUUUAUUUAUUUUAAUUUAACCUUUAUUUAACCAGGAAUGUCCCAUUGAGUUUAAAAACCCAGUUUUUCAAGGGAGUCCUGGCCAAGAGGCAGCAAAAAGUUAGUUUCAACACUGAUUGUCCUGUUUGCUUUCAAAAAAAAAAAAUUAUUUCACAUAAAAAAAAAAAUCCUUAAAUUUUUAUCACUACCAAGUACUGAGAGAAGAAAAGAUAAUCCUUCAGUCGAUGGGAAAUAUUCAUUGAUUUACCAGUAAAUAAAUCCUAUUAGACUACUUAAUGAAUCACCAGAAUAAUCAUAAUACUCAAACACUCAAAUACUGAAGUGCACUCUUAAACUAUGCCCAGCAAACCAUGGUACUGACCAAGUCCACCACCAAUGUAAUGUUUUUAGAGUUAAACAGUUUAUACACAACCAAAAGGACAGAUUACAGGCAACUAAUGGCAUUCAUGAACAAGUAAGGCCAACUGAUGGUAAGUGGGAUCAUCACCACUGCUGCAAUUAUAAAGAUCAUUCACUUGUGUAUCUGAAAAAAAAAGAUUUGUGCACAAGUUUAGUAACAAAGAUGGAAAGGACAUUCAUAUUCAGUCAGUUGACGUGAGAUCCAUCCAAAGAGGUUUCUGUUCGAGGACAUUCAGGGGAUCGAUCUGAUCUGACCAUACAUUAAAAAAAACAAACAAACAAAAAAACAGCUGAUGUAGAAGUAGACAGGUGACUCUUGUUCCCCUUUGGAUCUACCAAAGCGUUUCUGGCUGCAGUGUAUGUGGGACUGGUUUACAAUAACUGGUAUAAACACUUUGAAAACACACUUCACACCCAUGAAGAUUUCCAAGGGCAGUGUUGCCAAGUUGUCAAUGGACAUUCACCUCAAAUGUGCAGAGAUCCAGCGUGCUCCAUUGUGCAUUUGGAAAAAGGAGACAUCUGGUUCAACAGUCACUUCACAUAUGGACUCUUUGAGCUACUUUUUGACCUUCAUUACAUGUAACCUCUCUUUUUCUUCGCAGACAUCUUAAUCUCUGCCUGAUAUCUUCUUUUGCUGACCACAGCCAUUAACGCUCCAUUAUCAUCACAUUCUCAAGAGUUUUAAGCACAUCAGACUGACUUUAAGUGACUAAUUUACUUCCAGUCGGCAGACAGACAGCACGAUUGGCAAUCCCUCUUAUCACCAUGUGAGGGGAAGUGGGUUGCCAGGUUGAGAUGAGGUCACACAUGGUCUACAGGCCAGCUACGGGGUCCUGGCUCUGCCUCAUGGCUUUAACAGCAGGGCACAGACACACACAUGCACACAAAUACACACACAUACUCGCAGGAACUGGCAGCUCAGAGGAAUGCUCUCAUUCAGCACAGGGGCAUCGGAAGUCUGUCAGAAUGAAGCUGUGCUACUGAGCUGUGCGCUGAUGUAACUACCACAGAGCUGGCAGUUUGGGGUUGCCAGUUCAGUCUCAGACAAAAAAGAUACACAAACAUACACAUACAGGAAAAAAAUAAACAACCAAGCUGAAACUGUGAGACUUUACACACUGCUAUUCAGAUGUUGUUGUCAGACAAAAUGACAAUUUCUUGCUGUUCAGUUGACACUGAUAUAAUCUAUGCACAUAGAAAUGAGAUAUCAUACAGGUUUGCAUUUAUUUACACAUUCCCCUGAGUCGACUCUUCAUUUAUUUCACUUCCCUGCCUGCAAAUGCUUAUUGGAAUGAGCACAGGAAGCCAAAUAGAGAUGCAACGAUUGACAAAAACCACAUCUUGGGCUUUAAAUGAGAGUUUAGGUGCGUAGUGGGCAUAUUUACAGCUGUUAAACAAACAGCCUUUAAGGAGAGAGGGGGGAUGAGCAGGAUGGAGACGGGGAGAAGGAGAAAUAAACUGACUGUAAACGGUGGACCAGCGGAGACCCCCGACAACAAGCUGCAUAAUGCAACAAAAGAAGGGAUGAUGUUUGUGUCAGGGUACUUUCUAAUAUUCAUACGUUACAUUUUCCAACUUAAUUGGAAUCUGUCAGGGCGCAUUGGCCGUGAGUGGCAUCACAGCAGCAGCUGGGUCGUUUCCCCACGGCUGAUGAGAUGCAAUAAAAAGAGAGAGAGAGUGAGAGAGAAAGCAAGAGGGAAGUGGAUUGCAGGGCACCGAAUGAAAUGCAAUUCAGAGUCAAUGGGAGACAAAAACACAUUACUGCGAGCAUGGCUUGAGUAAACCUGUAAAGGGGAGAUUGUUUAAGACUAAUACUUCCACCUAUUCAAAGCCGGCUGUGUCCCCCUGGGGUUUGUCUCACUACUAUCAUUUCCAUUUGUCUGUCUAUUUAUCUAGAUCUCAUACAGUUGUACAAAUGCAUACAAACACAAACUGACAUGAACAUAUAGAAACAUAUCCACAUAUUCACAGGGGCUUAAA
Non-coding RNA from Xyrichtys novacula (pearly razorfish), 5925 nucleotides. Lineage: Eukaryota; Metazoa; Chordata; Actinopteri; Labriformes; Labridae. The record is from the annotation of a GenBank genome assembly.